Molecule: ribosomal RNA, 604 nt
Filed under: uncultured eukaryote
Lineage: Eukaryota
Description: bacterial SSU rRNA
Rfam family: Eukaryotic small subunit ribosomal RNA
Source: RNAcentral
CUGGGUGACCGAGUCAGGGCCAUAUGCUUGUCUCUGAAACUAACCCAGGCAUGUUAAAGAAUAAACAAAUCUAUACUGUGAAACUGCAGAGGGCUCAUUAAAUCAGUUACAAUCAUCUUGAUCGAAUACUCCCUACUCGGGUAACCCUAGUAUUUCUAGAGCUAACACGUGCAAAAAACCUCACCUCUCCUUCGCGGAUGGAAAAGGUGUAUUUAUUAGGUUUUAAAAAUCAAUGCGAGGCAUUCCAAACUGUGCCUGACCUUCCGCUUUGGUACGGGCUUCGGUACUUGACGAUUCAUAAUAACUAAACCAAUCUCAGGCGAACGUCUGCGAUGAUACCAUCGAUUUUCUGACCUAUCAACUUUAGAUGGUCGAGUAGAGGUUUGCCAUGGUGACAACGGGUGACGGAGAAUUAGGGUUCGAUUCCGGAGAGGGAUCCUGAAACCCGACUACCACUUCCAAGGAAGGUAGCUGGCGCGCAAAUUACCCAUUACUGAUUCUGUGAGGAAUGGACAAGAUAUACCUCUAUUGGACCCAACGGGUUCUAUGUUUGGAAUGAGUACAACUUAAAAACCUAAACUGCGAACAAUUGGAAGGCAAGUCU